CCUACGGGUGGCAGCAGUGAGGAAUAUUGGUCAAUGGGCGCGAGCCUGAACCAGCCAAGUAGCGUGAAGGAUGACUGCCCUACGGGUUGUAAACCUCUUUUGCCGGGGAGCAACGGGCGUCACGUGUGGCGCCACUGAGAGUACCCGGAGAAAAAGCAUCGGCUAACUCCGUGCCAGCAGCCGCGGUAAUACGGAGGAUGCGAGCGUUAUCCGGAUUUAUUGGGUUUAAAGGGUGCGUAGGCGGAUCGUUAAGUCAGUGGUCAAAUUGAGGGGCUCAACCCCUUCCCGCCAUUGAAACUGGCGUUCUUGAGUGGAAGAGAAGUAUGCGGAAUGCGUGGUGUAGCGGUGAAAUGCAUAGAUAUCACGCAGAACCCCGAUUGCGAAGGCAGCAUGCCGGCUUCCGACUGACGCUGAAGCACGAAAGCGUGGGGAUCGAACAGGAUUAGAUACCCUAGUAGUC
RNAcentral lists this ribosomal RNA (460 nucleotides) under uncultured bacterium. RNAcentral describes it as "partial 16S ribosomal RNA". It matches the Rfam family "Bacterial small subunit ribosomal RNA", at positions 338 to 795 of the family's 1533-position model. The record is from RNAcentral.